RNAcentral lists this small RNA (561 nucleotides) under Pan troglodytes (chimpanzee). RNAcentral describes it as "retained intron". Lineage: Eukaryota; Metazoa; Chordata; Mammalia; Primates; Hominidae. The record is from RNAcentral.
CUACUCUGUCCAGGUGCUGCAACGCCCCUGCCUUUCUCUUCACCACCCAGAAGAACACUCCCCUGGGGACAAAGCUCAAGUAUGAGGUGGACACCAGUGGCAUCUACCACAUCAACCAGGAGAUCUUCCGCAUGUUUCCCAAGGACAUGCCCUACUACCGGUCUCAGUUUAAGAAGUGUGCUGUAGUGGGCAACGGAGGCAUCUUGAAGAACAGCCGCUGUGGGAGGGAGAUCAACAGCGCCGACUUCGUCUUCCGGUAAAAGAAACCCUGGCACUGCCCUUGCCACUACCCCAUGGCCCUCUCCUCCAUAUUCUUCCCCCGGUUCCCUAAUGCUACCCUUUAAGCAAGUAAUCCCCACUUCCCACCCCUGCAGACCCUCAGGUCUGGGAUAUCCCUUCUUCUCUCCAGCCCCAUCCCUUUGGGGUAGUCGUUGAACUCCUAGGUCCUCAGUUUCCACAUCUGCACAAUGGGAGAUGUGUUAAGAGCAAAGGGCAUCACAGAUUUGAAGGCACUGAGGACUUAGGAGCUUGCAGCUGUGUCGGGAGGUCCUCUGGGCACCG